AUUUAAUGAUGGACUUUUCCUGAUUGGGGGGAAAAAAAUCUGUAGACUAGGAACAGAAAGUGGGAAAGAAAAAGAAGGUUUUUACUCCCCCAUUCCACCAUUUCAUUGUUAAGACACAUUCCCCAUAGCGAUCAUGAGACUUAAGGGAAAUGAAAGUAGCUUCUUAUCGUAAAGAGACUGAGAAUUCCUAUUCUGGAUUCUCAAAACAGCCAUGAAAGAUAUGCUGGACAGAAUUUACUCUCCCACUUGCCAGAGAUAGCAAGUCUCAGGAAAGUUAAGAGACUUGUCCAUGGUAUCUUAACUAAUGUGGUUUGGGAGUAGGUGCCACUGAGAGGAUAUUUAUUAGAGAAAAGAACCCACACAUCUUAGAAUAGGGUCAUUUCUGGUCACGGAGAAAUUAUUCCAUUUGAAUCCAGGUUUCCAGGGAAGAGUGAAUGUGUAGCACAUGUGUGGAUGGGACAGGCCCACACAAGGAAAUGAGUGCCGUAUGAUGCUUCCCAGAGAUGCUCUCUGGCCUGAACUGGUAAGAAGUUGGUCUGGGUUGAAGGCACUAGACAGAUCAUGAGAUUAAAUUCUCCACAUGUCAACUCAUCGUGGUCGUGAUAGCCUCUUAGUCUGGAAAUGCCUCUGGCUGUAGGGAUGACCUCAGUUGGAGACUCGCAAGAAGGACCAAGGCACCUUCUGCAAGGUGCUACCAGCCAGUUCCCAGAGGGGUCCCAGCAGUGCUCAGUGGGCUUCAUGCAGUUGGUGCCAGCAUUGCCUGCCUUUCCCCAAGGGCAAGUCUGUGUAGAGCAUUUGCCUUGGCACCUUUGCUCCAUUGGACCUCCAUCCCCUCUGAGAUGUCUUCAGAGGACACGUGGGCCCACUCGACAUCACUCCACUGAACUCUCUCUAAUCUCCUUGCACUGAGUCAGGAGCUUCGCACAAGGAAGGGAAAUUAAGAUCGUGUAUACACACGGAUCCUAACUCUGAAGGAAGCAAUCAUUUAGGACCACCCUGCUGGAUGCAACAGCGCGAAAUAGUGGGUGAGGGGACAACCAGGCCACCUGAAGAAUGUCUUGAAUGAUGGAAUUCUUGGUGACGGGACGGACCAGCAUGCUCCAGAAUAACAACAGGUACUAUCUUGGAAGCCACUUGACUUUGAAACAGAGGCAGAUUCGGAUUUGAGGUCACUGAUUCGGAGAUAUUUACAGCAGUUUUUUGUGUGUUUCGACCCUGAUCCCCCAAGAUUGAGGCUGUUGACAUGUGGCACUGUGGACAGGUGAAACUGAGUCUCAGAGAUUCACAAGUCAGAGUGGCCCCUGCCUGUUCUAGUCUGGUGCCCAGGACUUGGAGUGUUGCCUGAGAGACAUGUCCCAAGGCCCCCCUAGAGCCACAGAGUAUAACAAGGCAGUGGAAUAGUACUUCCAGUUUGGUAACCUCAAUGGCAAGAGGCAGGAGAUCCAACUAAAGAGAAGAGGGUCUAACGGCAAGUUGCUGACCCAGCUUCUAGCACAGCUGCCCUCUUCCACAGAAUGGGAACAAGUAACCUUUUGUGCCUCUUGUACUAUCAGUCUUCACUACUGGAAACAAGUUAGACCUUUCUAUCUGGGAAAAGCCUGGCUACUGUUCCAUAGAGGCUGCUGUGGAAGGAGCCAUCCCACGUGCCAGGAUGAUCCGAGACAUGAAACCCUGCCUAGGAAACAAGAGCAACAUGGGGAGUGGGCCACAGCGCUGUCUCAGCCACGUGGCCUUGGACAUGUCCUUCUGGGACCUCUCUUUCUCCAUCUAUCAAACAAGGGGCCUCUAAAGACUUUCCCUUUUCAACGAUCUUGCCUUUACCUGGAGUAAACGCUGCGGCCAUGGGAGAGGGGGCAUGGUCCUUGUUCUUCUGGGUCUUCCACCAGGCCCAAGGCUUCCCCCAGCCCUGCUAUUCUGGAGGGCUCCCCUUAGCCCUUUAAAGAAUCUUCCCUUCCCUCUUAAGGAUUGAUCAUGCUCAGAAAUCCAGCUGAUUUGGGGGACCAACAUGAAAAAAAAAAAAAAAGAACCUCACAAAGAAACUCUUUGAGAAGCCUUCCACGUU
Mustela erminea (ermine) is the source of this 2062-nucleotide long non-coding RNA. RefSeq lists it as uncharacterized. The record is from RefSeq and is a predicted model, not a curated record. The transcript is spliced from 3 exons. NCBI's taxonomy places the organism in Eukaryota, Metazoa, Chordata, Mammalia, Carnivora, Mustelidae.